Molecule: ribosomal RNA, 471 nt
Filed under: uncultured bacterium
Lineage: Bacteria
Description: bacterial SSU rRNA
Rfam family: Bacterial small subunit ribosomal RNA
Source: RNAcentral
AUUGAACGCUGGCGGCAUGCUUUACACAUGCAAGUCGAACGGCAGCGGGGACUUCGGUCCGCCGGCGAGUGGCGGACGGGUGAGUAACGCGUGGGAACGUACCCUUUGCUACGGAAUAGCCUCGGGAAACUGGGAGUAAUACCGUAUGUGCCCUUCGGGGGAAAGAUUUAUCGGCAAAGGAUCGGCCCGCGUUGGAUUAGGUAGUUGGUGGGGUAAUGGCCUACCAAGCCGACGAUCCAUAGCUGGUUUGAGAGGAUGAUCAGCCACACUGGGACUGAGACACGGCCCAGACUCCUACGGGAGGCAGCAGUGGGGAAUCUUAGACAAUGGGGGCAACCCUGAUCUAGCCAUGCCGCGUGAGUGAUGAAGGCCUUAGGGUUGUAAAGCUCUUUCAGCUGGGAAGAUAAUGACUGUACCCACAGAAGAAGCCCCGGCUAACUCCGUGCCAGCAGCCGCGGUAAUGUACAGUGU